RNAcentral lists this ribosomal RNA (248 nucleotides) under uncultured bacterium. RNAcentral describes it as "partial 16S ribosomal RNA". It matches the Rfam family "Bacterial small subunit ribosomal RNA", at positions 523 to 769 of the family's 1533-position model. The record is from RNAcentral.
AUACGGGGGGUGCAAGCGUUACUCGGAAUCAUUGGGCGUAAAGGGCGCGUAGGCGGCCUGAUCAGUCAGAUGUGAAAGCCCGGGGCUCAACCCCGGAAGAGCAUUUGAUACUGUCAGGCUUGAGUAUGGGAGAGGAAAGUGGAAUUCCUGGUGUAGAGGUGAAAUUCGUAGAUAUCAGGAGGAACACCGGUGGCGAAGGCGACUUUCUGGACCAAUACUGACGCUGAGGCGCGAAAGCGGUGGGGAGC